UCAUCCUCACCAUGUUUCUAGCUUUCAUUUGCAACCUUUCCAUCCAUGAUGUUGUUAGAAUAAUGAGAUUGAAAAAUUCACUUUUGUUACUGUUGAAGCUAAACCACUGCGAAUAACGACCUCCCACAACAAGUACACAGUGGCAUUGGACUCCCCUCAGCAAUGCGAGUUGAAUGGCACCAAUUUCACCCCAGAAUGCCACCAUUGAAUGGCAGAG
Molecule: unclassified non-coding RNA, 217 nt
Filed under: Hevea brasiliensis (rubber tree)
Lineage: Eukaryota; Viridiplantae; Streptophyta; Magnoliopsida; Malpighiales; Euphorbiaceae
Source: RNAcentral